CACUAAUUAAUUUAUCAAAAAUACCUGUUUUGGAUACAGAAUUUAACCCUAUCAUUAC
Molecule: transfer RNA, 58 nt
Filed under: Parachtes romandiolae
Lineage: Eukaryota; Metazoa; Arthropoda; Arachnida; Araneae; Dysderidae
Description: tRNA-Pro
Source: RNAcentral